CUAUCAGUUAGGGAUAAUUCUGAUCUGUAAGGUUCAGUUUACGGGCCUACAGUUUAGAAAAGUGAUGAUAGCGGUUGAUGACCCAUGUGAGUUAAAUCCGCGGAAAUCAGGAGUAACGACCCUGAUUUCUAAUCUGAC
This is a small nucleolar RNA of Physella acuta, 138 nucleotides long. RefSeq annotates it as U8 small nucleolar RNA. NCBI's taxonomy places the organism in Eukaryota, Metazoa, Mollusca, Gastropoda, Physidae. The record is from RefSeq and is a predicted model, not a curated record.